Molecule: ribosomal RNA, 548 nt
Filed under: uncultured bacterium
Lineage: Bacteria
Description: bacterial SSU rRNA
Rfam family: Bacterial small subunit ribosomal RNA
Source: RNAcentral
UAGGGAAUCUUCGGCAAUGGGGCAACCCUGACCGAGCAACGCCGCGUGAGUGAAGAAGGUUUUCGGAUCGUAAAGCUCUGUUGUAAGUCAAGAACGAGUGUGAGAGUGGAAAGUUCACACUGUGACGGUAGCUUACCAGAAAGGGACGGCUAACUACGUGCCAGCAGCCGCGGUAAUACGUAGGUCCCGAGCGUUGUCCGGAUUUAUUGGGCGUAAAGCGAGCGCAGGCGGUUUGAUAAGUCUGAAGUUAAAGGCUGUGGCUCAACCAUAGUUCGCUUUGGAAACUGUCAAACUUGAGUGCAGAAGGGGAGAGUGGAAUUCCAUGUGUAGCGGUGAAAUGCGUAGAUAUAUGGAGGAACACCGGUGGCGAAAGCGGCUCUCUGGUCUGUAACUGACGCUGAGGCUCGAAAGCGUGGGGAGCGAACAGGAUUAGAUACCCUGGUAGUCCACGCCGUAAACGAUGAGUGCUAGGUGUUGGAUCCUUUCCGGGAUUCAGUGCCGCAGCUAACGCAUUAAGCACUCCGCCUGGGGAGUACGACCGCAAGGUU